Molecule: small nucleolar RNA, 135 nt
Organism: Dasypus novemcinctus (nine-banded armadillo)
Lineage: Eukaryota; Metazoa; Chordata; Mammalia; Cingulata; Dasypodidae
Gene: SNORA70
Rfam family: Small nucleolar RNA SNORA70
About the family: snoRNA U70 seems to be exclusive to mammals and is a member of the H/ACA class of snoRNA which contain H (ANANNA) and ACA box motifs. H/ACA box snoRNAs are involved in the conversion of uridines to pseudouridines (5-ribosyluracil) a constituent of structural RNAs (transfer, ribosomal, small nuclear, and small nucleolar).
Source: Ensembl
CUGCAGCCAAUUAAGCCGACUGGCCCCCUCUCCCUGUGGGGGCCCGGUGUGCUGUGGCUGUGGACAGCAGCCUCCUUGGUAGUGUAUGUGGCCUUUUGCCUGUACGGGUUACCCUAAGGGACCCUGGAGACAGCU